RNAcentral lists this long non-coding RNA (386 nucleotides) under Mytilus galloprovincialis (Mediterranean mussel). The record is from RNAcentral. Lineage: Eukaryota; Metazoa; Mollusca; Bivalvia; Mytilida; Mytilidae.
CUGUUAUACCACUGUCCCAGGUUAGGGGGAGGCUUGAGAUCCGGUAACAUGUUUAACCCCGCCACAUUAUUUAGGUAUGUGCCUGUCCUAAGUCAGGAGCCUGUAAUUCAGUGGUUGUCGUUUGUUUAUGAGUUAUAUAUAUUUGUUUUUCGUUCAUUUUUUUACAUAAAUAAGGCCGUUAGUUUUCUCGUUUGAAUUGUUUUACAUUGUCUUAUCCAAGCAUUUUAUAGCUGACUAUGCGGUAUGGGCUUUGCUCAUUGUUGAAGGCCGUACGGUGACCUGUAGUUGUUAAUGUCGAUGUCAUUUUGGUCUUUUGUGGAUAGUUGUCUCAUUUGCAAUCAUACCACAUCUUCUUUUUGAAAGUUUAAUUUUGGACCCCUAAUUCC